RNAcentral lists this ribosomal RNA (253 nucleotides) under uncultured bacterium. RNAcentral describes it as "partial 16S ribosomal RNA". It matches the Rfam family "Bacterial small subunit ribosomal RNA", at positions 524 to 776 of the family's 1533-position model. The record is from RNAcentral.
UACGGAGGGGGCGAGCGUUAUUCGGAAUUAUUGGGCGUAAAGGGCGCGUAGGCGGCCCGGUAAGUCAAAGGUGAAAUCCCUCGGCUCAACUGAGGAACUGCCUUUGAAACUGUCGGGCUUGAGGCCGGGAGGGGGUAGCGGAAUUCCCAGUGUAGCGGUGAAAUGCGUAGAUAUUGGGAGGAACACCAGUGGCGAAGGCGGCUACCUGGACCGGUUCUGACGCUGAGGCGCGAAAGCGUGGGGAGCGAACAGG